CAUUUUUAGCUCACCUGGCCCGAAGGGCCAAGUGAGCUUUUCUCAUCACUUGGCGUCCGUCGUCCGGCGUCGUCCGUCGUCGGCGUAAACUUUUUACAUUUUGAACUUCUUCUAGAGAACCACUGAAUGGAAUGAAACCAAACAUGGCAUGAAUGUUCCUUAUGAGGUGCUGACCAAGUGUUGUUACUUUGUAGCGGAUCCAUCAUCCAAGAUGGCCGCCAGCGGGGGACUUAGUUUAACAUAGGACCCUAUGGGAAAUACAUACAAAUGUCUUCUUUUAGUGAACCACUGAAUGGAAUGAAACCAAACAUGACAUGAAUGUUUCUUAUGAGGUGCUGACCGAGUGUUGUUACUUUGAAGCCGAUCCAUAAUCCAAGAUGGCCGCCAGCGGGGGACUUAGUUUAACAUAGGACCCUAUGGGAAAUACAUACAAAUGUUUUCUUUUAGAGAACCACUGAAUGGAAUGAAACCAAACAUGGUAUGAAUGUUCCUUAUGAGAUGCUGACCGAGUGUUGUUACUUUGAAGCCGAUCCAUAAUCCAAGAUGGCCGCCAGCGGGGGACUUAGUUUGACAUAGGACCCUAUGGGAAAUACAUACAAAUGUCUUCUUUUAGAGAACCACUGAAUGGAAUGAAACCAAACAUAGUAUGAAUGUUCCUUAUGAGGUGCUGACCGAGUGUUGUUACUUUGAAGCCGAUCCAUAAUCCAAGAUGGCUGCCAGCGGGGGACUUAGUUUAACAUUGGACCCUACGAGAAAUACAUACAAAUGUCUUCUUUUAGAGAACCACUAAAUGGAAUGAAACCAAACAUGGCAUGAAUGUUCCUUAUGAGGUGCUGACCAAGUGUUGUUACUAUGAAGCUGAUCCAUAAUCCAAGAUGGCCGCCAGCAGGGGACUUAGUUUAACAUUGGACCCUAAGGGAAAUACAUACAAAUGUCUUCUUUUAGAGAACCACUAAAUGGAAUGAAACCAAAUAUGGCAUGAAUGUUUCUUAUGAGGUGCUGACCGAGUGUUGUUACUUUGAAGCCGAUCCAUAAUCCAAGAUGGCCGCCAGCGGGGACUUUGUUUAACAUUGGACCCUAUGGGAAAUACAUACAAACGUCUUCUUUUAGAGAACCACCGAAUGGAAUGAAACCAAACAUGGCAAGAAUGUUCCUUAUGAGGUGCUGACCAAAUGUUGUUACUUUGAAGCUGAUCCAUCAUCCAAGAUGGCCGCCAGCGGGGGACUUAGUUUAACAUAGGACCCUAUGGGAAAUACAUACAAAUGUCUUCUUUUAGAGAACCACUGAAUGCAAUGAAACCAAACAUGGCAUGAAUGUUCCUUAUGAGGUGCUGACCAAGUGUUGUUACUAUGAUGCCGAUCCAUAAUCUAAGAUGGCCGCCAGUGGAGGACUUAGUUUAACGUAGGACCCUAUGAGAAAUAUGUACAAAUGUUUUCUUUUAGAGAACCAUUGAAUGGAAUGAAACCAAACAUGGCAUGCAUGUUUCUUUUGAGGUGCUGACCAAGUGUUGUUACUUUGAAGCUGAUCCUUCAUCCAUGAUGGCUGCCAGAUGGGGACAAUGUUUAACAAAGGACCCUAUGGACAAUACAUACAAAUGUCUUCUUUUAGAAAACCACAUACUGAAUGGAUUGAAACCAAACAUGGCAUGAAUGUUCCUUAUGAGGUGCUGACCAAGUGUUGUUACUUUGUAGCCGAUCCAUCAUCCAAAAUGGCCACCAGCGGGGGACUUCGUUUAGCAUAGGACCCUUUGGACAAUACAUACAAAUGUCUUCUUUUAGAGAACCACUGAAUGGAAUGAAUCCAAACAUGGCAUGAAUGUUCCUUAUGAAUU
This is a long non-coding RNA of Mytilus californianus (California mussel), 1831 nucleotides long. RefSeq lists it as uncharacterized. The record is from RefSeq and is a predicted model, not a curated record. The transcript has 3 exons. Lineage: Eukaryota; Metazoa; Mollusca; Bivalvia; Mytilida; Mytilidae.